UGGCAGGGGGGGUCCCUUACGGGGGGGGGACAGUAGGGAAUCUUCCACAAUGGACGCAAGUCUGAUGGAGCAACGCCGCGUGAGUGAAGAAGGUUUUCGGAUCGUAAAGCUCUGUUGUUGGUGAAGAACGACAUGGGUAGUAACUGAUAUCUGUUUGACGGUAAUCAACCAGAAAGUCACGGCUAACUACGUGCCAGCAGCCGCGUAAUACGUAGGUGGCAAGCGUUGUCCGGAUUUAUUGGGCGUAAAGCGAACGCAGGCGGGAGAACAAGUCAGCUGUGAAAGCCCUCGGCUUAACCGAGGAACGGCAACUGAAACUGCUUUUCUUGAGUGCAGAAGAGGAGAGUGGAACUCCAUGUGUAGCGGUGAAAUGCGUAGAUAUUGGAAGAACACCAGUGGCAAGGCGGCUCUCUGGUCUGUAACUGACGCUGAGGUUCGAAAGCAUGGGUAGCGAACAGGAUUAGAUACCCUGGUAGUCCAUGCCGUAAACGAUGAGUACUAAGUGUUGGGAGGUUUCCGCCUCUCAGUGCUGCAGCUAACGCAUUACAAAUCGCCGGGGGCCCCCCCCCCCUCCGGCCAUACGUCAAC
Molecule: ribosomal RNA, 588 nt
Filed under: Lactobacillus apis
Lineage: Bacteria; Bacillati; Bacillota; Bacilli; Lactobacillales; Lactobacillaceae
Description: partial 16S ribosomal RNA
Rfam family: Bacterial small subunit ribosomal RNA
Source: RNAcentral